Molecule: long non-coding RNA, 939 nt
Filed under: Brassica napus (rape)
Lineage: Eukaryota; Viridiplantae; Streptophyta; Magnoliopsida; Brassicales; Brassicaceae
Description: long non-coding RNA (BNAP_LNC011785)
Source: RNAcentral
UUAUCAAAAAAGAUAAAUAUACACUUAUACCCAAAUGGUAAAUUAAUUUAGAUAUUAAGGUUUAGAGUUAAGGGGUGGACUUUAGGAUUUAGGGUUUAGGAUUUAGGUUUUAGGGUUUAGUGUUUAGGGUCUAGGGUUUAGGGGUGGGGUUUAGGGUUUAGUGUUUAGAGUUAAGGGGUGGGGUUUAGGAUUUAGGGUUUAGGGUUUAGGAUUUAGGGUUAGAGUUUAGGGUUUAUGGUUUAGGGUUUAGAAUUUAGGUUUUAGGGUUUAGAGUUGGGGAGCGGGGUUUUAGGAUAAGAUUUCAAAUUUUGAAAAAUAAAAAAAAAUUAAAUUUUUCAAAAGAUAAAAUGCUAUUUUGGUCAUUUUAGUUUUUGAGUACUAUUUUUGUGACAUAAAUUUAGAAAUGUGCUAUUUCGGAGAUUCGCCCUUAAUGUAUUCAGUAAAUUCUUAUUGUUGGAUUUCAAAUCUUUGUUUUUUGAAUUUCAGAAUAUUCUUCAAUGGCAUAAACUGUAACAUUAGUGUAAAAUCAAUGGCAUAAUCUUAUUAGGGAUUCUGCUUUAAUAUUAUAAAUACGUAUUCUGAUUUUUUUUUAAAAAAUGAAAGUCAUUAAAAAUAAUCUUAAAAAAAUAUUUCUUAUCAUGCUAAUGGAAAUAGCUUCAAACGUGCAGAUUUGGAAGAAAUUUAAUUUUCGACACCAUGGGCCUUAAACUUAAAGUAUAUGAUCAGUGUAAACGUUUUUUUUUGUAUACCAGGAUAAUACUUGCGUUUUACGCAGGGUAAAUUAUGCAGUUAAAAUAUAAAAGAUAUGGUAUUGACAAAAUUUAAGAUUUAUAUAUGAUCAAUUUUUUUUUAUAUAUGUAUACAGUUUUGGAUUGUUUAUAUAAUCAUCUAUACGUUGGACAUAGAACAAUUUUAAUUGGAAUUUUGGAUUAAAACUUC